UACGGAGGGUGCGAGCGUUGUCCGGAAUCACUGGGCGUAAAGGGCGCGUAGGCGGCCUGAUAAGUAGGGGGUGAAAUCCUGCGGCUUAACCGCAGGGCUGCCUUCUAAACUGUCGGGCUCGAGCACAGUAGAGGCAGGUGGAAUUCCGGGUGUAGCGGUGGAAUGCGUAGAGAUCCGGAGGAAGACCGGUGGCGAAGGCGGCCUGCUGGGCAGAUACUGACACUGAGGCGCGACAGCGUGGGGAGCAAACAGG
Molecule: ribosomal RNA, 253 nt
Filed under: uncultured bacterium
Lineage: Bacteria
Description: partial 16S ribosomal RNA
Rfam family: Bacterial small subunit ribosomal RNA
Source: RNAcentral